GGUUCGGGAGGCCACCCGGUGGACGGGGGGCAUGAAUGGAACCGGCCCCCUUGAUCGCCACGCGCCGCACUCCGGGCCCCGACGGGAUGCG
Molecule: non-coding RNA, 91 nt
Filed under: unclassified sequences
Description: Rhodo-rpoB RNA
Rfam family: Rhodo-rpoB RNA
Source: RNAcentral